AAUGAAAACCCUUUUAUUUUUUCUCUGAAAUUUCUUUGGGGCUUGCCAUCACAACCGCCACUGCUCCGUUGCAGCCACCGGUCACCAGAGACAGAGACCUCUGCCUCCAGUGGCUGGCAAUAGGCAAAAUUUUCCAAGGAGUCCCUUUUUUUUCUCAUAAAACUCCGAUAUGGAGUUGGAAUCGUCGAAAGCCUCACCGAAAAUCUCCAAAAGGGAAAAGAAUCUUUCAGCUUUUACCCUUCCAACGACGGCGCAAUAGGCAUCAACAUGCGGUCAAUGUUGGGGAGAGAAGGGCGCCCUUGCCAUUUUGGUGAAAUGGCAACAGGGGUGUCAAACCUCGGGACGAGGUGUCUCGGGCGACGCGCCUUCACGUGGAGGGCAGCGGCGCUGGAGGCUAGGUUUUUUUUUUAUUUUACUGAAACUUAGUUUAGGUUGUGGGCCAUUUGGGCUUUAGGGAUGUUUAAUUUCGGGUCAUUUGGGCUUGCAAAUGUAAUUAGACUUUGAGACUUUUUAUUUUUAUUUAUUUUUGGUUGCUGUUUAGGGCUCAGGCAAAAUUGGGCUUCUAUAUCGUCUUAAUAAAAGGUUUGAUUUACUAAAACAA
This is a long non-coding RNA of Gossypium arboreum, 601 nucleotides long. RefSeq lists it as uncharacterized. NCBI's taxonomy places the organism in Eukaryota, Viridiplantae, Streptophyta, Magnoliopsida, Malvales, Malvaceae. The transcript is spliced from 2 exons. The record is from RefSeq and is a predicted model, not a curated record.